RNAcentral lists this long non-coding RNA (1930 nucleotides) under Mus musculus (house mouse). Its description in RNAcentral is "predicted gene 20667". The record is from RNAcentral. Lineage: Eukaryota; Metazoa; Chordata; Mammalia; Rodentia; Muridae.
UUAAAGAAUAUUAAGGGGCCUAAUCUACCAUAUCUCGCCCGUAUCAGAUGCUUAGUGUAAAGUUAACUUCUGUGUCUGAUCACAGUUGCUACAUCCAUCCCCUCCCUCAUGUCUUUUCAUUAAUGGUAAACCGAAAAUGCUAUUUCUUUGCUUUAAAUCUUUUUUUUUCUAGAAGUAGCUAACCCUGGAUGCUUACCUUAGACUGUCUCUGGUCUUCCUUGAUUCUGUCCUUGCAGAUAUUCUCAUUUCUUCCAGAAGAUGGCAGUGUGGUUCCUGCAAUUUUCCUUCCCUGGGCAAACAUGAAGGCCAGGGCUGCUUGUACCUACUGUGGCUUGAACUUCUCUUAUAUUUUCCCUCAGUUUUUAUCAGAAAUUGAUGAGUAUGUGUGGGGAAAUCAGAGGACAAAUAAUUUAAAUGAAGUAUAAACAACUUUCUGUGUACAGAAACUCAGCUGUCAUGCCUCUUCCAGACAUCUUGUGCCCAUCAAGUGUGGUUUGCCAGUGUUGUCUAUACAUGCAUGCAUACACACACACACAUGUAUUACGUAUGUAUGGAUACAUUAGAUAGAUAGAUAGAUAGAUAGAUAGAUAGAUGUUAAUUUGCAGCCUCUACUCCACAGAGUCUCAUGACUGUCAGUGUUACUGAGGACAGCCCUGUUGCCCUCAGUCUCUCAGCCUUAUGUGGAAUUAUUGCCUUUGGACAAAUGAGGAUGUGAGUUGUUUCCUUCUUUUUGGUUCUAGGAGUUGAUGACAGAGCUGAAGUGAUAGCUAGAUUCUCUUCUGUAGAUUCUGGAAAGUUCCUCUGACAUAGAGCUAGCAUCUCAAGUAAACCAGCUUACAAAUGCUGACCUUUUGAAAAGAACAUACUGUUUGAACUUUGGAAAAUGUAUAUGGUUACACACCACCUUGACGUCAGAGUAAUAUCAUGUCUGACAACCCAACCCUCACCCCUAGCUCUUACAGCUAAUGAUUUGAAUUCAGUUGUACUUUUUGCUUUUUUUAGAAUGUCACAGAAAAGGAAUCUCAGAUGAUUGAUUGAUUGGUCAAUCGUUUGUGCCUAUGUUUUAAACAGCAUAAUGCUUUUGAGAUUUAUCUGUGUUCCAUGUUGUAAAUGGUUCCUGCUUAUUGCUGGAUGUCACUUCACUCUGCAUAUUUAGGUUAUAAGAUUUGGGGCUUUGUUAAGGAUAAAGUUAUAUACUGUUCAAAUGUUUCUUUUUACAAAUACACAUUCCCGUUCAUCAUGGAGACUUACUUAGAGCUAGAAUCUUGAUUUGUGUCUCUCAGUGGCUGGUAACGAACAUUUCCCUCUGUUUGCUGUCCUUGUGCCCUUGUCUGUUGGGGUGUCUUACCCAGGAUGUUUGUUAUUAGUACUGAGUUGAAAGUUUGUUGCAUACUUUUUGCAUUUUUGCAUACAACUCCUUUACUAAGUUUUUUCUUACUAAUAUUUUCCCCAUUCCAUGGCUUAUUUUUUUGUCUGUUUUCUUGGUAUUAUCACUUUAAGAAAAGGUUUUCAUUUUGUUGAAGUUUGAAUUUAUUUAUUUUUCUUUUCUUCUUUUCUUUAAUGAUUCAUGUCUUUUGUGUCCUAAGGAUAGCCAGGCAUGGUGUUUCAUGUCAGUAAUCUCAGCACUGGAGAGGCAGCAAUUAUUGUGAGUUCAAAGGUAGCCUAGGAUAUUUAGUGAGUUCUAAUCUUUUCCUGUCUGUCUCAAAAGACAAAAAGAUAAAAAAAAGACAUUUCCCCAGAUCAAGAGCACAAAGAUUUUUCUAGAAGUUUCAUGGUUAUAUUUCUUGAUUCGGUUUUCUAUCUACUUGGAGUUCAUUUCUGUGUGCCAUAGAUGCUGGAGUGGCCUUUUGUUUAAGUGGAAAUCAGCAGGCACCAUUUGUUUAAAAGCUCAUCUGUUCAUUAAAUUGUGUCAAUACCUUUGCUGAAAUCA